UAGGGAAUCUUCGGCAAUGGGGGGAACCCUGACCGAGCAACGCCGCGUGAGUGAAGAAGGUUUUCGGAUCGUAAAGCUCUGUUGUUAAGGAAGAACGAGUGUGAGAAUGGAAAGUUCAUGCUGUGACGGUACUUAACCAGAAAGGGACGGCUAACUACGUGCCAGCAGCCGCGGUAAUACGUAGGUCCCGAGCGUUGUCCGGAUUUAUUGGGCGUAAAGCGAGCGCAGGCGGUUAGAAAAGUCUGAAGUGAAAGGCAGUGGCUCAACCAUUGUAGGCUUUGGAAACUGUUUAACUUGAGUGCAGAAGAGGAAAGUGGAAUUCCAUGUGUAGCGGUGAAAUGCGCAGAGAUAUGGAGGAACACCAGUGGCGAAGGCGACUUUCUGGUCUGUAACUGACGCUGAGGCUCGAAAGCGUGGGGAGCGAACAGG
RNAcentral lists this ribosomal RNA (429 nucleotides) under Bacteroidota bacterium. RNAcentral's name for it is "Bacteroidetes bacterium partial 16S ribosomal RNA". It matches the Rfam family "Bacterial small subunit ribosomal RNA", at positions 355 to 776 of the family's 1533-position model. Lineage: Bacteria; Pseudomonadati; Bacteroidota. The record is from RNAcentral.